Molecule: long non-coding RNA, 715 nt
Organism: Pieris rapae (cabbage white)
Lineage: Eukaryota; Metazoa; Arthropoda; Insecta; Lepidoptera; Pieridae
Exons: 3
Source: RefSeq, a predicted model, not a curated record
CAUAAUGUUCCGGUUGUUCGCGGGUAUUAUUAUACUGUCAUCAGCUCAAGCCUCAAUUUCAUCAAGUUCAUCUUCAGAAACGUUAGACGAUUUAACAUCAAUAUUGGAUAGACUUUCAAGUGCUGAAUCAGAGUUAAGCGAUGAAGAAAAUAAAAGUCAUGGUAAAUAAAAUCAAUAAAUCUAUACAACUGGAGAAAAAUGCCGAAGCACAUAUAGCAUACAUAUGUGCUUCGGUUAUUGUUAGUUGUAAUAUAUUCCCUUCUCUGAUUUGAUCUAAAUUUGUUUAUGUACUAAACCCGCUACUACGCUCUACACCCUUGACUUGCGAACUGGUAGUAAAUGUAAAUUAACCAUUAAUUUAAUUUUUUUGACGUUUAUAGUAUACUUGUUUACGUCUAUGAAGAACUUGAAGCACUUUUAGAAUUACUUUAGAAUAGAUUUUAAUGAUAUCUAACAUUUUAGCAAAGACGUUUAUAAAUCUAACGCUGACCUCCAUCAACAUAUCUCAUGUUCACUGAAAUCAACAUCGACGAUAAAAUAAUUGUUCAAUUAUAUUCGCAAUUGGUAUAACGGUAAAGAAGAACUGGCCAUAAACUUUCCUCCACUCUUUUUAAUAAUCAGAUAGGCUAUUUAGUACUGUACUAAUUAUUAUUAGUUUUCAAAGGGCUUGUGGCAUUAUGGACUAAUCUUGUUAAUGUUGUGGUCGAGUUAAUUU